GGAACAGCUAGGUGGCUCAGUGGAAGGAGCACUGGGUUUGCAAUAAGGAAAACUCAUGUUCAUGAGUUCCAAUCUGGCCUCAGACACUUAUUAGCCAGAGAAGAAAAUGAUAAACCAAAAUAUCUUUCCCAAGAAAACCCUUAAAGGCUUCAUGAAGAGUCCAACACAUCAGAAGCUGCAACCUGAAGUAGAGUUGGAAUUAUUCAUUUUUCUCUCUUGAAGCUAGAAGCCAGAAGACUACCAAAAAGAGUGAAAAGACUGAAGAAAGUGGAUUUCUCUUCUUUCCUGCUUCUUGCUAACUCUGACCGAAUCCUUAUGGAGAUACGAGACAUUCAUCUCCACCAAAGAGGAAAUUUCCUGAUCUGUAACAUGAGCUGGAGAAGGAAAUGGCAAAUCAUGAUACUAUUUGUGCCAAGAAAACUCUGAAUGGAGUCACAGAAAGUCAGACAGGACUGAAAUGACUGAUCAUAGUCACCUCUGCACUUAACAUAUCAUCUUGACCACAGGGACAAGGAGAGGAAGAG
RNAcentral lists this long non-coding RNA (524 nucleotides) under Monodelphis domestica (gray short-tailed opossum). RNAcentral describes it as "lncRNA (ENSMODG00000040943.1)". Lineage: Eukaryota; Metazoa; Chordata; Mammalia; Didelphimorphia; Didelphidae. The record is from RNAcentral.